CCUACGGGAGGCAGCAGUGGGGAAUAUUGGGCAAUGGGCGCAACCCUGAUCCAGCAACGCCGCGUGAAGGAAGAAGGCUUUCGGGUUGUAAACCUCUUUUCUCAGGGACGAAGAUAGUGACGGUACCCGAGGAAUCAGCCACGGCUAACUACGUGCCAGCCGCCGCGGUAAUACGGAGGCGGCAAGCGUUAUCAGGAUUUAUUGGGUGGAAAGGGCGUGGAGGCGGGAGCGCAAGUCAGAUGUGAAAACUCAGGGCUCAACCCUGAGCCUGCAUGUGAAACUGUGUGUCUUGAGUGCUGGAGAGGCAAUCGGAAUUCCGUGUGUAGCGGUGAAAUGCGUAGAUAUACGGAGGAACACCAGUGGCGAAGGCGGAUUGCUGGACAGUAACUGACGCUGAGGCGCGAAAGCGUGGGGAGCAAACAGGAUUAGAUACCCGAGUAGUC
RNAcentral lists this ribosomal RNA (443 nucleotides) under uncultured bacterium. Its description in RNAcentral is "partial 16S ribosomal RNA". It matches the Rfam family "Bacterial small subunit ribosomal RNA", at positions 338 to 795 of the family's 1533-position model. The record is from RNAcentral.